RNAcentral lists this long non-coding RNA (1267 nucleotides) under Cyanistes caeruleus (blue tit). RNAcentral's name for it is "lncRNA (ENSCCEG00000000814.1)". Lineage: Eukaryota; Metazoa; Chordata; Aves; Passeriformes; Paridae. The record is from RNAcentral.
GGAGGAACUGGGAGGGACUGGGAGGAACUGGGAGGAACUGGGAGGGACUGGGGGGAACUGGGAGGAACUGGGGGGAACUGGGAGGAACUGGGAGGAACUGGGAGGGACUGGGAGGAACUGGGAGGAACUGGGAGGAGUUUAUUGAGUUCCGCACAGCCCCGGGGACACCGCGGGCUCCCACGGGGACACUUUGGGGACACUUUGGGGACAGCCAGACCCCUCCUGUCCUCCCCAGAGGGACCUGGGGACACUUUGGGGACCCCCUGUCCUCGCCAGAGGGGUCUGGGGACACUCUGGGGACACUUUGGGGACCUCCAGCCCCUUGUCCCCAGCCUGGGGGUCGCUGCCUGUCCUUGGGGCCACCCUGGGGACACCUUGGGGACACUCUGGGGACCCUUGGGACACCCCAGGGACACUCUGGGGACACUCUGGGAACUUUGAGGACCCCAGGACCACCCCGGUGCCACCUUGGGGACCUUGAGGCCACCCCGGUGCCACCUUGGGGACCCUGGGGCCACCCUGAGGACCCCGGGGCCACCUCAGGGCCACCUCGGGGCCACCUUGGGAACUUUGAGGACCCCAGGACCACCCUGGGGACACCUUGGGGACCUUGAGGCUGCCCUGGGGACCCUGGGGCCACCUUGGGGCCACCUUGGGGACCCCAGGACCACCUUGGGACCACCCUGGUGCCACCUUGGGGAUCUUGAGGCCACCUCGGGGACCCCGGGACCACCCUGGGGCCACCCUGGUGCAACCCUGGGGACCCUGGGGCUACCUUGGGGACCCCGGGACCACCCCAGUGCCACCUUGGGGACCUUGAGGCUGCUCUGGGGACCCCGGGGCCACCUCAGGGCCACCUCGGGGACCCCAGGAUCAUCCUGAGGCCACCCUGGUGCCACCUUGGGGACCCUGGGGCUACCUUGGGGACACCUUGGGGCCAUCCCGGUGACACCUUGGGGACCUUGAGGCCACCUUGGGGACCCCAGGACCACCUUGGGACCACCCUGGUGCCACCUUGGGGACCCUGGGGCCAUCCCGGUGUCACCUUGGGGACCUUGAGGCCACCUUGGGGACCCCAGGAUCACCUUGGGACCACCCUGGUGCCACUUUGGGGACCCUGGGGCCACCCUGGGGACCCUGAGGCCACUCUGAGGACCCCAGGGCCACCUCAGGGCCACCUCAGGGCCACCUUGGGGCCACCCUGGGAACUUCGAGGACCCCAGGACCACCCUGGGGACACCUUGGGGACCUUGAGGCUGCUCUGGGG